RNAcentral lists this ribosomal RNA (425 nucleotides) under uncultured prokaryote. Its description in RNAcentral is "bacterial SSU rRNA". It matches the Rfam family "Bacterial small subunit ribosomal RNA", at positions 355 to 774 of the family's 1533-position model. The record is from RNAcentral.
UGGGGAAUAUUGCGCAAUGGGGGCAACCCUGACGCAGCAAUACCGCGUGAGUGAUGAAGGUCGUAAGAUCGUAAAACUCUUUUCAGGGAUCUUAAAGCCUGUCUGUCAACAACAGGCAGGUCUGACUCCCCCUGGAAGAAGCCCCAGCCAACUACGCGCCAGCAGCCGCGGUAAUACGUAGGUGGCGAGCGUUAUCCGGAAUUACUGGGCGUAAAGCGCACGCAGGCGGCUCAUUAAGUCUGACGUGAAAGCUCCUGGCUUAACUGGGAGAGGUCGUUGGAGACUGGUGGGCUUGAGGUAAGGAGAGGGGUGCAGAAUUCCCGGUGUAGUGGUGGAAUGCGUAGAUAUCGGGAGGAAUACCAGUGGCGCAAGCGGCGCCCUAGCCUUGACCUGACGCUCAUGUGCGAAAGCGUGGGGAGCAAACA